RNAcentral lists this transfer RNA (91 nucleotides) under Planctomycetota bacterium. RNAcentral describes it as "tRNA-OTHER". It matches the Rfam family "tRNA". From Rfam's summary of the family: Transfer RNA (tRNA) molecules are approximately 80 nucleotides in length. Their secondary structure includes four short double-helical elements and three loops (D, anti-codon, and T loops). The record is from RNAcentral. Lineage: Bacteria; Pseudomonadati; Planctomycetota.
GCACUGGUGGUCUAGUGGCCAAGACACCGCUCCCGGGGCACCGACGCGCAGCGUUGGUCCGGCGACGAGGGUUCGACUCCCUCCCGGUGCU